GGNNGNUAGUCCGUACGAGCGCACCCCUAUCCUUAUUUGCCAGCGCAUAAUGGCGGGAACUAUAAGGAGACUGCCGGUCAUAAACCGGAGGAAGGCGGGGACGAUGUCAAGUCAUCAUGGCCCUUAUGGGUAGGGCUACACACGUGCUACAAUGGGUGGUACAGAGGGUUGCCAAAGCGUGAGCUGGAGCCAAACCCUUAAAACCAUUCUUAGUCCGGAUUGGAGUCUGCAACUCGACUCCAUGAAGUCGGAAUCGCUAGUAAUCGCGAAUCAGAAUGUCGCGGUGAAUACGUUCUCGGGCCUUGUACACACCGCCCGUCACGUCAUGGAAGUGGGUUGCACCAGAAGUGGUUUGUUUAACCUUCGGGAGAACGGUCACCACGGUGUGAUUCACAACUGGGACGAAGUCGUAACAAGGUAGCCCUAGGGGNNGGGGGGGCUGGAUCACCUCCUU
RNAcentral lists this ribosomal RNA (454 nucleotides) under uncultured marine bacterium 311. Its description in RNAcentral is "bacterial SSU rRNA". It matches the Rfam family "Bacterial small subunit ribosomal RNA", at positions 1078 to 1532 of the family's 1533-position model. The record is from RNAcentral.